AUUAUGAGAGUUUGAUCCUGGCUCAGGACGAACGCUGGCGGCGUGCCUAAUACAUGCAAGUCGAACGCUUUUUCUUUCACCGGAGCUUGCUCCACCGAAAGAAAAAGAGUGGCGAACGGGUGAGUAACACGUGGGUAACCUGCCCAUCAGAAGGGGAUAACACUUGGAAACAGGUGCUAAUACCGUAUAACACUAUUUUCCGCAUGGAAGAAAGUUGAAAGGCGCUUUUGCGUCACUGAUGGAUGGACCCGCGGUGCAUUAGCUAGUUGGUGAGGUAACGGCUCACCAAGGCAACGAUGCAUAGCCGACCUGAGAGGGUGAUCGGCCACACUGGGACUGAGACACGGCCCAGACUCCUACGGGAGGCAGCAGUAGGGAAUCUUCGGCAAUGGACGAAAGUCUGACCGAGCAACGCCGCGUGAGUGAAGAAGGUUUUCGGAUCGUAAAACUCUGUUGUUAGAGAAGAACAAGGACGUUAGUAACUGAACGUCCCCUGACGGU
Molecule: ribosomal RNA, 501 nt
Filed under: Listeria monocytogenes
Lineage: Bacteria; Bacillati; Bacillota; Bacilli; Caryophanales; Listeriaceae
Description: bacterial SSU rRNA
Rfam family: Bacterial small subunit ribosomal RNA
Source: RNAcentral